Molecule: ribosomal RNA, 274 nt
Filed under: uncultured bacterium
Lineage: Bacteria
Description: partial 16S ribosomal RNA
Rfam family: Bacterial small subunit ribosomal RNA
Source: RNAcentral
CUACGAAGGGGGCUAGCGUUGUUCGGAAUUACUGGGCGUAAAGCGCGCGUAGGCGGACGGAUCAGUUGGGGGUGAAAUCCCAGGGCUUAACCCUGGAACUGCCUCCAAUACUGUCAGUCUUGAGUUCGGGAGAGGUGAGUGGAAUUCCUAGUGUAGAGGUGAAAUUCGUAGAUAUUAGGAAGAACACCAGUGGCGAAGGCGGCUCACUGGCCCGAUACUGACGCUGAGGCGCGAAAGCGUGGGGAGCAAACAGGAUUAGAAACCUUAGUAGUCC